RNAcentral lists this long non-coding RNA (1709 nucleotides) under Anas platyrhynchos platyrhynchos (common mallard). RNAcentral describes it as "lncRNA (ENSAPLG00000029771.1)". The record is from RNAcentral. Lineage: Eukaryota; Metazoa; Chordata; Aves; Anseriformes; Anatidae.
AUGUGUGAAGAAAGUCAAAUGAAUUGGGACCCUGUGCUGAGCUGUAGGAAAUCUUUGUUCAGGACCCUGGUGACAUUUGGGUCCUUUAGGGCCGGCGUGUCCCCGAGCUGCUGUCCGGCCCUGGUCUCCGCAGGUCCUCUACUGCCGGCGGGGUGGCCUCUUCUUGGGUGGCGAAGGACCCUGGGAGGAGCUGUUCUUCCUCUUGGGGACUCGCCGGGGCCCCCCAGGUUGGCACCCCGUGCCCCGCCUGGCGCUGGAGGGACCUGGUGCAGCCUCCUAUGGCUCCUCUGGAGGCGCUGCCUGUUCCAUGGGGACCGCAGCAGAGAUGGAGUGAGGGUGGCUGGGAGUCCCUCGCAGGCUGUCCCUGGAACUUGCAGGCACCUCAUCCCCGCUGGAGCUGGCGGGCUGUGGAGAGGGGCCUGGAACGGGUGGAGGAGCCACCCCUCCGUGUCCGGAUGGUCCGGGUGCGGGGCUGACCUCCCGCUGCUGGGCUGCAGGUGGAGCGUUCAGUCGCAGCAGGCGGUGGGCCUCCCUGCUGCACCGUUGCGCGGCGACUUCCAGGAGCUGACUGACAAAUGUCGCCGCGUGGUGGCCGAGGUCGAGCUCCAUCAGCUGGACUAGGAGGUCUUCCUCAAGGCCAAAGAGGCGCAGGCUCUCCAUGACGGCGUUCUCCAAGAUGAGCGCCUCCAAACGCUGUGCCCCGAAGACGCGCCCCAGCUCCCGGCGCACCCAGGAGAGCAGGGGCUGGAGGAGAGCAGGGUGCUUCCGGAAGAGUUGUCCCCAGGUGUCCGCGGGGAGGCCGCCAGCGAAGGUGAUGGGAGCCCAGACAGGCGGCCUGUUGGCAGAUGCCACUGCCGAUGGGCUGAUGACGAGCUCCUCGAACUGAUCAUCAGCCUGCACCGAGUGCACUAGAGAUGUAAUUCUCCUCUUGCAGAGGGGGCACUCGGGCUUGCUGUCUGCCACCGCCAGAUGCACGGAUAGCAGAACUGGUGGCAGCACGGCAUGGUGAACGCGGCGCUGCCCCAGGUGUCCAGACAUAUUGGGCAGCGGGUGUCCAGUGCCGCGGCCAUGCUUGCCACUGGUGGGCUGGGAGGAACAGCAGGUGACAAUCUCCUCCCAGGCACAGGAGCUGCAGCGGCGGGUGUCACUCUGGAAGAGGAAGAGAGGGGUCACAGUAAAUCUCUGGGGUGGGGAGGGUCCCUCAAGGAGGAACCUCAUGCUGCCUGUGCAAGGUGUCCCCAUGCAACUCACCUCUGCUGCUGCAGGUGCUCCUGCUGGAUGUCCCAGCUGCCUGUUGGGAACAGGGCUGGGAGAAAAGCAGAAGUGGCUCUGGAGACGUGAGCACCUUCCAGAACCAAGGCUUGCCUUGUUCCUCGCUCCAGUCCUCGCAAAGACGCUCGGAUAGAGGGGAGGCACAAACUGCUGGGCUGAGCCGCUGUGCCCAGAUUUAAGCCGUGAGGGCCACGCAAUCAUAAAGCAUCACCUGGAGACAUCGCAGCGCUUCAGCAAGAUGUCACAGACAGCCGCCAGGCACAUGGCCACCCCCCAGUAGGGGACAUCACUGGGAACAUCACAAUGGGCCAUCCUCACCUGCAGCACGUUCUCCAGCAGCUCUCCGGCCCCUGCACAUAUUUCUGGGCUCCCCCAGCACCACUAGGAGGGCUUGCAUAGGCUGCAAUUAAAGGACAAUAAAAGCCGUGACUGUUCCA